Molecule: ribosomal RNA, 493 nt
Filed under: uncultured bacterium
Lineage: Bacteria
Description: partial 16S ribosomal RNA
Rfam family: Bacterial small subunit ribosomal RNA
Source: RNAcentral
GACGAACGCUGGCGGCGUGCUUAACACAUGCAAGUCGAACGCUGAAGCCCUUUCGGGGGUGGAUGAGUGGCGAACGGGUGAGUAACACGUGGGUAAUCUGCCCUGUACUUCGGGAUAAGCCUUGGAAACGGGGUCUAAUACCGGAUAGGACCUGUCCUCGCAUGGGGGUGGGUGGAAAGUUCCGGCGGUAUGGGAUGAGCCCGCGGCCUAUCAGCUUGUUGGUGGGGUAGUGGCCUACCAAGGCGACGACGGGUAGCCGGCCUGAGAGGGUGACCGGUCACACUGGGACUGAGACACGGCCCAGACUCCUACGGGAGGCAGCAGUGGGGAAUCUUGCGCAAUGGGCGAAAGCCUGACGCAGCAACGCCGCGUGGGGGAUGACGGCCUUCGGGUUGUAAACCUCUUUCGACAUCGACGAAGGGGCCCUGUUGUGGGGUUUUGACGGUAGGUGUAGAAGAAGCACCGGCUAACUACGUGCCAGCCGCCGCAGUAA